UGCAUCCUGGUGGUGGGACAAUGUUUUCUUGGAGAGAAGGAGUUAAAAAAGAAACACUUCUCAGGAAGAGAAUGGAGGAGUUUGGAACAGAAAAAGGAGUAAAUGGGAUAAGAAUGAAAAUUUAAAAGGGAGGGUCAAGGAAUAUCCUGUUUUUUUAUCAUAGUGAAUGCUAAAAUGAAGCUAAAGUAAGGGAGGCAGUUAAUCAGUUGGUUUUUUUCGCAGGUAAUUGCACUGCAGGAUGGGAAAUAACUACAAAACUGCCUGUCUUCCCUCCAUGACAGCAUUUUGCUGGACACAGAUAUUUCAGAAGAGUUAACUUCAGAUUUCUGGAAACAGAAACACUGAAGUAUACAUUUCCAAGUCUAGUUUAUAUUGGUGCUCGAAGUCUUUAUUAUUAUUCUUUUCUGCAAGAAUGCCUUUCUAAGGUGCUGUACUUUGUGCUUUCAUGGAGAUAGGCAUGGCUGGG
This is a long non-coding RNA of Passer domesticus (house sparrow), 466 nucleotides long. RefSeq lists it as uncharacterized. The transcript has 4 exons. NCBI's taxonomy places the organism in Eukaryota, Metazoa, Chordata, Aves, Passeriformes, Passeridae. The record is from RefSeq and is a predicted model, not a curated record.